AACGCAUCAACCCACAAAUGUCCUUUUCCUUUCGAGCACUCUUCCAUGAUGCCAGCCAUGAAAACAAACUUCUAAUCCUCCAUGAAAUCUGCUCCUUUGGCCCAACAAAGGCAGACUAAUGAGGCAAAUGACAGCAAUGCAGACACAGUGAGAUUAGGGUGAGUUAUAUAACCUUUAACCCCUCCUCCACCUACGCCUCAUCACAUCGUAUUGCUUCAUCCACGUCGAUCCACCGUAAACGAGAGCCUGUGUUUAUGAAUGCUAUUCGGUUCAGGUGAACAAAUGGCGUGACUGCGUGGCAAGGCAGAAUGUCACGGUGCGUGUGAAAAAGGGCCCGGAGAAGACAAAGCUCAGAGCUGCGCACUUAUUAGACCUGUGUCCUUGGCAGAUGCAGGGCUUGCCCUUUGUUAGCAAGGUGUGUGCGUGGCUUUUACAAUGGCGGUGAUUUAGAACGGAUUGAGCCGAGGCGUGGAGACAAGGUGCCGUAGCCCCACGGCUCCCUGAUCGCUGGCAGCGUGACAGCUGGGAAUGGAGCGCAGGGAACAAGCUGAGAGCGAGAACGGGAGAGGACAAGCCGGGUGAGGGAGAUGGGACAUCAUGAGUGGACUUUGGGUGAAGUCCAUCAGAGCCGAGCUUUGUUAACAUCCUCUCGACAAGUUUGGGUUAGAACCCCGCCUGACCAGACGGCGGCCUCGGGCCAGCGGCCACCUAACGUGCUGGCGAGAGGGAGUGCUUCCCUACCUCAUUGCCUUGGAUGAUGUGAUGGAUGUGCCUCAGGUAGUGGCUGCCCCCUGCUUUGUGGCAGACCUCCAG
Molecule: long non-coding RNA, 813 nt
Organism: Syngnathus typhle (broad-nosed pipefish)
Lineage: Eukaryota; Metazoa; Chordata; Actinopteri; Syngnathiformes; Syngnathidae
Exons: 3
Source: RefSeq, a predicted model, not a curated record